UUCCCAAAAAAUUACUCAGCUACUUUUUUAUACGAGGAAACUACAGCUAGGAGUGUGCUGGUAAAUCGGAAGACAUCUUCCUACUACUCUGCUGCUAAAGAAUUAAUUUAAUGGAGUGCUGCAGAUGAAAUUCCUACAAUUAUUGCUAACAAAUUGUGAUUUUUCUGCCAUUAACCACUUUAGUAGAAGUGGAUAUAGAUUUGAAGUUGCCCAUCCCACCACCACCA
RNAcentral lists this long non-coding RNA (227 nucleotides) under Canis lupus dingo (dingo). RNAcentral's name for it is "lncRNA (ENSCAFG00020016315.1)". The record is from RNAcentral. Lineage: Eukaryota; Metazoa; Chordata; Mammalia; Carnivora; Canidae.